This 253-nucleotide ribosomal RNA is filed under the name uncultured bacterium. RNAcentral's name for it is "partial 16S ribosomal RNA". It matches the Rfam family "Bacterial small subunit ribosomal RNA", at positions 524 to 776 of the family's 1533-position model. The record is from RNAcentral.
UACGUAGGGUGCAAGCGUUAAUCGGAAUUACUGGGCGUAAAGCGUGCGCAGGCGGUUAUGCAAGCCAGAUGUGAAAGCCCCGGGCUCAACCUGGGAAUGGCAUUUGGGACUGCAAGGCUUGAGUGCGGCAGAGGAGACUGGAAUUCCUGGUGUAGCAGUGAAAUGCGUAGAUAUCAGGAGGAAUACCGAUGGCGAAGGCAGGUCUCUGGGCUGACACUGACGCUCAUGCACGAAAGCGUGGGGAGCAAACAGG